RNAcentral lists this ribosomal RNA (497 nucleotides) under uncultured bacterium. RNAcentral's name for it is "partial 16S ribosomal RNA". It matches the Rfam family "Bacterial small subunit ribosomal RNA", at positions 28 to 507 of the family's 1533-position model. The record is from RNAcentral.
GAUGAACGCUGGCGGCGUGCCUAAUACAUGCAAGUCGAGCGAACGGACGAGAAGCUUGCUUCUCUGAUGUUAGCGGCGGACGGGUGAGUAACACGUGGAUAACCUACCUAUAAUACUGGGAUAACUUCGGGAAACCGGAGCUAAUACCGGAUGAUAUUUUGAACCGCAUGGUUCAAAAGUGAAAGACGGUCUUGCUGUCACUUAUAGCUGGAUCCGCGCUGCAUUAGCUAGUUGGUAAGGUAACGGCUUACCAAGGCAACGAUGCAUAGCCGACCUGAGAGGGUGAUCGGCCACACGGGAACGGAGACACGGUCCAGACUCCUACGGGAGGCAGCAGUAGGGAAUCUUCCGCAAUGGGCGAAAGCCUGACGGAGCGACGCCGCGUGAGUGAUGAAGGUCUUCGGAUCGUAAAGCUCUGUUAUUAGGGAAGAACAUAUGUGUAAGUAACUGUGGACAUCUUGACGGUACCUAAUCAGAAAGCCACGGCUAACUACGUG